Cephus cinctus (wheat stem sawfly) is the source of this 2385-nucleotide RNA transcript. It is a transcript of the gene named RWD domain-containing protein 4, with no coding region annotated. The record is from RefSeq and is a predicted model, not a curated record. The transcript is spliced from 6 exons. Lineage: Eukaryota; Metazoa; Arthropoda; Insecta; Hymenoptera; Cephidae.
UUUGUGUUUGGCUCAUUUGUGAUCGUCACCAAUCGUCACACGCGUUCCAUGUUUUAACCUUAGAAGUUUGAUGCAUGAUUGAAAGGCGGCGGCUAGUAAUUAGUUUUCUAGGUCAUCCCAAUAAUAGAAGACAGUAGAAAUGAGCGAUGCUGAACUUCAAGAAGAAGAAAGAGAAGUAUUGCUCUCGAUAUACGAUGGAGACGCGGCGUUUAAGCAGCUGACACCCACCACAUAUCAGUACAAGUAUGGAGAGGAUGAUGACAUUAAAUCAUUACUUUUGGAGAUUUCUUGGGGACCGUCUUACCCAUCGGAAAAGCCAACUAUCAAUAUGAACACAUUCUAUAACAAGCAUAUUGUGCAAGAAGUGAAGGAUAAGGUGGUGGCACAUGUGGAAGCGGAAGCUGAACAGUGGUUGGGAUGUGCAAUGACAUACACGUUGUUCCAAUCUGUGCAGGAACAUCUUGCAGAUUUGUUAGCUCCACAGCCAGACACUAUAACAGAUCUUAAUGCUGAUACUAAUAAAUUGACGAUUACUGAUCAAAAUCAAUUGCAAGAGGAGCCAACGAAAAAAGUUAAAAAGGAACAACUGAGUAAAGCGCAAAAACGGCGACAAUGGAGUCGAGCAGAUGGUAAAGGUGAAAAACCACGUGGAUGGGAUUGGGUUGACAUUGUAAAACAUUUAUCUCAAACUGGGUCGAAGCAAGAACAAGAGUCAUAGUUAAAGAGCCCGAGUGGAUCGUCGUGUCCAAAUACUUGAGACCUAGUAUAUCCUUGCGAAGUAGUAAUACUUUAUCAUUAAGACCUGCUACCACUGCUGCAAUAUCAUCCAGAGUGGCAUCUUCAACCCUCGACCUCGUGGGGCACGGACAGAAUGACGAAUUUCCUUUACUGGACGUGUAAGAAGACAUGGCUGCAUGUUUCAAAGGUUCUUGGAUCUUGGUUAUGCAUUGAGAAGUACCAUCACUCUGAAGUUCGUCCCGUUUAACGUUUCACUCGUGGAGUGACAGGUGGAAGAAAACAGGGCUACCAAUACUCACGUACAAAAUCAAUGGCAAGACAUUCGUGGCUGCGAUAAAAUUUACGGAUUUCACAAAGGAGACAGGCAUCGACCAUAGUUCAAUUGGAUUCUGUCACGCUUCGUUGAGGAUUUUCGUAUAGAGGGAUGUCGCCAUGUCCAAUAGAGAUAUGAAUGACAUUCUGAUUCGCCUCAAAGAAAUUCAUAAGCUUCAGUCGAAGCUACGUAACAUGUUAGAAGACUGUUUAGUGAAUGACGAUAACGAUGAAGAUUUUUCAGCAAAUACAUCGUUAUCAUCGAAAACUGUGUCCUGGAAGACACUUGCCGAUGCUCACGAUGACUCCAGCAGUGAAGACUACCAGCGCAACCGGAAAUGGUUGAACUCGAAAUCCGACACGACUCUCCCUACGAGGCACGAUGCAACAAAGAGACAUCCGGUAACGAAUAAAAAGUUAAGUGAACGUAUAGCAAUGAUAUUAAAGUCUGAGAUUGAAUCAAAGACAAAUUCAUUAGAUUCUUCUACCCAUCUUCAAGGAUCAACUCGUAGUUCAAGCAUCGCAUCUGACGACAGCGGCUGUUCAGAAGUUACCGACGAAUCUCAAGCCUCCUCGAAGACGAUUCUGAACGUGGAUGCAUCUGUGCAAACAACAACGUAUGAAAAAAAGGCGAAGAGAACCAAAGGAUUUGUUAAAUGGAAGCUAGCGAAGUUACCCACAUAUGGUAGACAAACACGCCGGAAAAGACGAUUGAACAAAGCAUUAGAUAAGUUGUUGAGACGAAUAUUACGGCAGAUGAACUACAGUCCUGAGUACGAGGGUAGGGUCGUUGUUCCAUACCAUCAUCCAGGUGCGAAACCACGGCUCGUGCAAAUUGCGCCACGGGCUAUGAAUGAAGUCAGUGAGACGAGUCGAGUCAUUUCCUCAGCGAUAAAAGUUUCCGUUGAACGGCCACUGCCAUCUUGGAUCGAUCGUGUCAACAAUGCUUUUCGGAUGAAAUUAAAAAAUUGCAAAGAGGCGCCUAAAGGAAUACUAAAAGAUUUAACAGGUUCAAAGACCAAGGUAACAAAAGAUACAAAUUCAGCCUGGCAAUACUUCAAUUGCACUGACGAAGAGGCAUUAUUGGACCCGAACGAUUAUUCGUCGUCAUCGAUGUGCACUGUCAGUAGGCAGUAUCCAUUGAGAGCAAAUACAAAUCUAAGCUUGAGUAAAAGUAGACUCAGUCUGUUCAAUUUCCUGUGCAAGGUAUGUCCUUGCGUGUGUUUAGAGAGUGCGCCAUUGCGUAUACUAUACUGAAUUACCGAGUAAGACUUAUAUAUGCCAACCAAGUUACAUAUAACAUUUCCAAUAAAGGCCAACCUCUUCGACACUAAA